GUUAUGGAUCUAUUUAAAGUGAUGUUCCUGCAGCUUGUUGUUAGAAAUUGCUGGAGAAGAAAGUUGCCAUCAUUGCAGAGCAAUGCAUUCUAACAUUAAGCAUUUAUAUCACGGCUGAUGGAGAAAUGGCAUGUUCAAUUUACACUCUAUUUAUCUUCCAGUGGAAGGAACUAAAUGAGUCAUUAUGAAGACACUCAUUACUGGCUGUUUCACUUAAUGGCUCCAUGAAAAGAUGUAUCAAGGGCUACAAACUUUGUGACCAAUGAGAGAGUGGAGAAAUAAUGAGGUAAACUUGCCCAAUCUUUAGGCAGAUAAAAAUUCCAAUAAGCCACAGUAGGGGGUGAGUGUAGAAAGCAUGUUUCAAUGUUCUUGUCACAUACUUGUUUAGACACUAUUGAGUGUUAUGUUUCUGUAAAACAUUUCAAUCUAAUAACAGAUGUAAUAAAUGUAUUUUGACGCUUAUUUAAGAACACUGUUUCUUCUCUUGACAGUAUAAUGUAAAGAUGUAGAAUGGGAAACCCUCAGACAGAUUCAAGCUAUUUAAUUUCGGAAAUGACAUUUCUUCACAGUUCUUCCAAGAUAGCAAUUUAUGUCAAUCAUGCCGGAACCCCUUCUGCCAAUGACAAUGUCAAUGGACUUGAAUUUCCUAUUGACUUUGGGGUGAGAGGGCUAUCUCUUUGACUCUUCUGAGUGGUACCUUUCACUAUCAUAUAGAAAAGUUUACUUCCCAAGGAAUUUUCCUUGUGAUCUCAAACCUAAUCUGACCUUCCUUUUAUAG
This 778-nucleotide long non-coding RNA is filed under the name Homo sapiens (human). RNAcentral's name for it is "HSALNT0036918". Lineage: Eukaryota; Metazoa; Chordata; Mammalia; Primates; Hominidae. The record is from RNAcentral.